Molecule: ribosomal RNA, 406 nt
Filed under: uncultured bacterium
Lineage: Bacteria
Description: partial 16S ribosomal RNA
Rfam family: Bacterial small subunit ribosomal RNA
Source: RNAcentral
AUUGAACGCUGGCGGCAUGCUUUACACAUGCAAGUCGGACGAGUUGCGGACGGGUGAGUAAUAUAUCGUAACGUCCCUCAUACUUGGGGAUAACUCAUCGCAACAUUAGCUAAUACCGCAUAUUAUUCGAUCGUCCCAUAUCUGAUUAGCUAGUUGGUGGGGUAAAGGCUAACAAAGGAGACGAUCAGUAGCGGGUCUCAGAGGAUUAUACGCAAAACUGGAACUGAGACACGGACCAGACUCCUACGUGAGGCAGCAGUGGGGAAUUUUGGACAAUGGGCGCAAGCCUGAUCAAGCCACGCCGCGUGUAUGAAGAAGGCCUUCGGUGUGUAAAGGACUGUUGUCAGGGAAGCGGUACCUGAAGAAUAAGCACCGGCUAACUACGUGCCAGCAGCCGCGGUAAUAC